AGCAGUCGCCGCGGUAAUACGUAGGGUGCGAGCGUUAAUCGGAAUUACUGGGUGUAAAGCGUGCGCAGGCGGUUCGUUAAGACAGAUGUGAAAUCCCCGGGCUUAACCUGGGAACUGCAUUUGUGACUGGCGAGCUAGAGUAUGGCAGAGGGGGGUAGAAUUCCACGUGUAGCAGUGAAAUGCGUAGAGAUGUGGAGGAAUACCGAUGGCGAAGGCAGCCCCCUGGGCCAAUACUGACGCUCAUGCACGAAAGCGUGGGGAGCAAACAGGAUUAGAUACCCGCGUAGUCCCUGUCUCUUAUAC
RNAcentral lists this ribosomal RNA (303 nucleotides) under uncultured bacterium. Its description in RNAcentral is "partial 16S ribosomal RNA". It matches the Rfam family "Bacterial small subunit ribosomal RNA", at positions 507 to 807 of the family's 1533-position model. The record is from RNAcentral.